GCGGGAGUGGUGGAAUUGGGUAGACACGCAGGAUUUAGGUUCCUGUGUCCGUGAGGACGUGGGGGUUCGAGUCCCCUCUCCCGCACCA
This 88-nucleotide transfer RNA is filed under the name Micromonospora carbonacea. Its description in RNAcentral is "tRNA_Leu_TAG". It matches the Rfam family "tRNA". From Rfam's summary of the family: Transfer RNA (tRNA) molecules are approximately 80 nucleotides in length. Their secondary structure includes four short double-helical elements and three loops (D, anti-codon, and T loops). RNAcentral also lists the same sequence under 8 other names. The record is from RNAcentral. Lineage: Bacteria; Bacillati; Actinomycetota; Actinomycetes; Micromonosporales; Micromonosporaceae.